RNAcentral lists this ribosomal RNA (308 nucleotides) under uncultured bacterium. Its description in RNAcentral is "partial 16S ribosomal RNA". It matches the Rfam family "Bacterial small subunit ribosomal RNA", at positions 505 to 807 of the family's 1533-position model. The record is from RNAcentral.
GAGACAGCAGUAGCCGCGGGAAUACAGAGGGUGCGAGCGUUAAUCGGAUUUACUGGGCGUAAAGCGUGCGUAGGCGGCUUCUUAAGUCGGAUGUGAAAUCCCUGAGCUUAACUUAGGAAUUGCAUUCGAUACUGGGAAGCUAGAGUAUGGGAGAGGAUGGUAGAAUUCCAGGUGUAGCGGUGAAAUGCGUAGAGAUCUGGAGGAAUACCGAUGGCGAAGGCAGCCAUCUGGCCUAAUACUGACGCUGAGGUACGAAAGCAUGGGGAGCAAACAGGAUUAGAUACCCGCGUAGUCCCUGUCUCUUAUAC